GAUGAACGCUGGCGGCGUGCCUAAUACAUGCAAGUCGAGCGAACGGACGAGAAGCUUGCUUCUCUGAUGUUAGCGGCGGACGGGUGAGUAACACGUGGAUAACCUACCUAUAAGACUGGGAUAACUUCGGGAAACCGGAGCUAAUACCGGAUAAUAUUUUGAACCGCAUGGUUCAAAAGUGAAAGACGGUCUUGCUGUCACUUAUAGAUGGAUCCGCGCUGCAUUAGCUAGUUGGUAAGGUAACGGCUUACCAAGGCAACGAUGCAUAGCCGACCUGAGAGGGUGAUCGGCCACACUGGAACUGAGACACGGUCCAGACUCCUACGGGAGGCAGCAGUAGGGAAUCUUCCGCAAUGGGCGAAAGCCUGACGGAGCAACGCCGCGUGAGUGAUGAAGGUCUUCCGAUCGUAAAACUCUGUUAUUAGGGAAGAACAUAUGUGUAAGUAACUGUGCACAUCUUGACGGUACCUAAUCAGAAAGCCACGGCUAACUACGUGCCAGCAGCCGCGGUAAUACGUGGGUGGCAAGCGUUAUCCGGAAUUAUUGGGCGUAAAGCGCGCGUAAGCCGGUUUUUUAGUCUGAUGUGAAAGCCCACGGCUCAACCGUGGAGGGUCAUUGGAAACUGGAAAACUUGAGUGCAGAAGAGGAAAGUGGAAUUCCAUGUGUAGCGGUGAAAUGCGCAGAGAUAUGGAGGAACACCAGUGGCGAAGGCGACUUUCUGGUCUGUAACUGACGCUGAUGUGCGAAAGCGUGGGGAUCAAACAGGAUUAGAUACCCUGGUAGUCCACGCCGUAAACGAUGAGUGCUAAGUGUUAGGGGGUUUCCGCCCCUUAGUGCUGCAGCUAACGCAUUAAGCACUCCGCCUGGGGAGUACGACCGCAAGGUUGAAACUCAAAGGAAUUGACGGGGACCCGCACAAGCGGUGGAGCAUGUGGUUUAAUUCGAAGCAACGCGAAGAACCUUACCAAAUCUUGACAUCCUUUGACGACUCUAGAGAUAGAGCCUUCCCCUUCGGGGGACAAAGUGACAGGUGGUGCAUGGUUGUCGUCAGCUCGUGUCGUGAGAUGUUGGGUUAAGUCCCGCAACGAGCGCAACCCUUAAGCUUAGUUGCCAUCAUUAAGUUGGGCACUCUAAGUUGACUGCCGGUGACAAACCGGAGGAAGGUGGGGAUGACGUCAAAUCAUCAUGCCCCUUAUGAUUUGGGCUACACACGUGCUACAAUGGACAAUACAAAGGGCAGCGAAACCGCGAGGUCAAGCAAAUCCCAUAAAGUUGUUCUCAGUUCGGAUUGUAGUCUGCAACUCGACUACAUGAAGCUGGAAUCGCUAGUAAUCGUAGAUCAGCAUGCUACGGUGAAUACGUUCCCGGGUCU
Molecule: ribosomal RNA, 1372 nt
Filed under: uncultured bacterium
Lineage: Bacteria
Description: bacterial SSU rRNA
Rfam family: Bacterial small subunit ribosomal RNA
Source: RNAcentral